GUCGGAACGUCCCUGUGCUGUACGGCGCUCUGCGGCGCAGCGCGGUCUGCAGGACGCACACCAGUAAGGAAGAGGACUGAGGUGUUGAAAGACGUCCUUGAAGUCCCAUGUAAAUGUCUCGCAGAGGGUACCCUGGAGAGAACCCGGUUUACCUGUGUGGAGUCCUGUCCAGCAUUUCAAGACUGGCAUCAACACGCCACCCUCUACAAACAACCCCCAAGCGGCAUCUCCUGUUCAGACCACGAGCCCUUGUACAGCACCGAUCAUUUAGAACGACUUAAGAGCGCACGUGCUGCACUGCGCCGCCGUCUUUUCCUGCGGUGACUUUAUGCUCGCCGGUUCCAGGAUGUGUAGAAAUGUCCACCUGUAUGGAUAUCUCACCCACCGUAUUAUUAGUGC
RNAcentral lists this long non-coding RNA (399 nucleotides) under Columba livia (rock pigeon). Its description in RNAcentral is "partial uncharacterized LOC102088709, transcript variant X2". Lineage: Eukaryota; Metazoa; Chordata; Aves; Columbiformes; Columbidae. The record is from RNAcentral.